This 1074-nucleotide ribosomal RNA is filed under the name Salinivibrio sp. A4. RNAcentral describes it as "bacterial SSU rRNA". It matches the Rfam family "Bacterial small subunit ribosomal RNA", at positions 36 to 1087 of the family's 1533-position model. Lineage: Bacteria; Pseudomonadati; Pseudomonadota; Gammaproteobacteria; Vibrionales; Vibrionaceae. The record is from RNAcentral.
CGGGGCGGCCGGCUACCAUGCAGUCGAGCGGAACGGCAGCAUUGAAGCUUCGGUGGAUUUGCUGGACGUCGAGCGGCGGACGGGUGAGUAACGGCUGGGAACCUGCCCUGACGCGGGGGAUAACCGUUGGAAACGACGGCUAAUACCGCAUAAUGUCUUAGUUCAUUACGAGCUGGGACCAAAGGUGGCCUCUACAUGUAAGCUAUCGCGUUGGGAUGGGCCCAGUUAGGAUUAGCUAGUUGGUAAGGUAAUGGCUUACCAAGGCGACAAUCCUUAGCUGGUUUGAGAGGAUGAUCAGCCACACUGGGACUGAGACACGGCCCAAACUCCUACGGGAGGCAGCAGUGGGGAAUAUUGCACAAUGGGGGAGACCCUGAUGCAGCCAUGCCGCGUGUGUGAAGAAGGCCUUCGGGUUGUAAAGCACUUUCAGCAGUGAGGAAGGUGGUGUACUUAAUACGUGCAUGGCUUGACGUUAGCUGCAAAAAAAGCACCGGCUAACUCCGUGCCAGCAGCCGCGGUAAUACGGAGGGUGCGAGCGUUAAUCGGAAUUACUGGGCGUAAAGCGCAUGCAGGCGGUUUGUUAAGUCAAAUGUGAAAGCCCGGGGCUCAACCUCGGAACCGCAUUUGAAACUGGCAGGCUAGAGUCUUGUAGAGGGGGGUAGAAUUUCAGGUGUAGCGGUGAAAUGCGUAGAGAUCUGAAGGAAUACCAGUGGCGAAGGCGGCCCCCUGGACAAAGACUGACGCUCAGAUGCGAAAGCGUGGGUAGCAAACAGGAUUAGAUACCCUGGUAGUCCACGCCGUAAACGCUGUCUACUUGGAGGUUGAGGUUUAGACUUUGGCUUUCGGCCGCUAACGCAUUAAGUAGACCGCCUGGGGGAGUACGGCCGCAAGGUUAAAACUCAAAUGAAUUGACGGGGGCCGCACAAGCGGUGGAGCAUGGUGGUUUAAUUCGAUGCAACGCGAAGAACUUACUACUCUUGACAUCAGUGGAACUUCCAGAGAUGGAUGGGUGCUCGGAACCUGAAACAGGUGCUGCAUGGCUGUCGUCAGCUCGGUUGUGAAAUGUGGGUAGUC